GCCCAAUGAUGAGACCAAGGCGAAUACGAGCUGACUGAACGAGAGUUGGGUUCUUCUUGCCUUUACUGGCAGGUAAUCUUGGCAGUGCAGGGGAGGAUUCCUGUUCUGCUGUAAGGGCUUGCCUACAGUGACUUGGCUGAACCCAAAUUAUUCUUCUACAGUCACAGCAGAGUAAUUGGUGGGAUAAAGCUGACAGUGUGUGCUUGUUUGUGUGUGCUUGUUUGUGUGUGCGUGUAAGAGGCAAGGAGUUCACCCAUCUCUCUUUGCUGUUCAGUUAGUAAUGAGUUGCUUCUUUGGUAAUCUGAGGGCU
Molecule: small nucleolar RNA, 310 nt
Organism: Larimichthys crocea (large yellow croaker)
Lineage: Eukaryota; Metazoa; Chordata; Actinopteri; Sciaenidae
Source: Ensembl